GGCUUGUUAGCUCAGUUGGUAGAGCACUGCACCAGUAUCGCAGAGGUCAUGGGUUCAAAUCCCAUACAGGCCU
Molecule: transfer RNA, 73 nt
Filed under: Pocillopora damicornis (cauliflower coral)
Lineage: Eukaryota; Metazoa; Cnidaria; Anthozoa; Scleractinia; Pocilloporidae
Description: tRNA-Thr
Rfam family: tRNA
About the family: Transfer RNA (tRNA) molecules are approximately 80 nucleotides in length. Their secondary structure includes four short double-helical elements and three loops (D, anti-codon, and T loops). Further hydrogen bonds mediate the characteristic L-shaped molecular structure. tRNAs have two regions of fundamental functional importance: the anti-codon, which is responsible for specific mRNA codon recognition, and the 3' end, to which the tRNAs corresponding amino acid is attached (by aminoacyl-tRNA synthetases). tRNAs cope with the degeneracy of the genetic code in two manners: having more than one tRNA (with a specific anti-codon) for a particular amino acid; and 'wobble' base-pairing, i.e. permitting non-standard base-pairing at the 3rd anti-codon position.
Source: Rfam by way of RNAcentral